Molecule: RNase P RNA, 374 nt
Filed under: Ectobacillus ponti
Lineage: Bacteria; Bacillati; Bacillota; Bacilli; Caryophanales; Bacillaceae
Description: Bacterial RNase P class B
Rfam family: Bacterial RNase P class B
About the family: Ribonuclease P (RNase P) is a ubiquitous endoribonuclease, found in archaea, bacteria and eukarya as well as chloroplasts and mitochondria. Its best characterised activity is the generation of mature 5'-ends of tRNAs by cleaving the 5'-leader elements of precursor-tRNAs. Cellular RNase Ps are ribonucleoproteins.
Source: Rfam by way of RNAcentral
AGCCCGAGAGAAUCGCGCGGAGCUCUUGCUCCGUGAGGAAAGUCCGUGCUCGCACAAGCUGUGAUGCUUGUAGUGUUCGUGCCCGGUGAAAGCCGGGGCAGCCUUUGGCUGACGGCGGGGAACAAGCCUAAGUCCGGUUGGAUAUGGCUUUACUACUCUGAAAGUGCCACAGUGACGAAGCUCUGCUGGAAACGGCGGAGGUGGAACGAGGUAAACCCCACGAGCGAGAAACCUAAAUAUUGGUCAGGGAAGCGCCGGCAGGGAAACAGAACCGCACCGGCGCCAUGGCAUAUGCCAUGAGAUAGAUGAUUCUCCAUGCUUGUGCGAGGACAGAGUCCGUUUGCAGCGCAGCAUGAACAGAACGCGGCUUACGA